GAGUUUGAUUCUGGCUCAGGAUGAACGCUAGCGAUAGGCUUAACACAUGCAAGUCGAGGGGCAGCAUGGUCUUAGCUUGCUAAGACUGAUGGCGACCGGCGCACGGGUGCGUAACGCGUAUGUAACUUGCCUGAUAGAAAGGGAUAACCCGGUGAAAGUCGGACUAAUACCUUAUGGUCUUGGGUUAUUGCAUGAUGAUUCAAGUAAAGAUUAAUUGCUAUCAGAUAGGCAUGCGUUCCAUUAGUUAGUUGGUGAGGUAACGGCUCACCAAGGCGACGAUGGAUAGGGGAACUGAGAGGUUUAUCCCCCACACUGGUACUGAGACACGGACCAGACUCCUACGGGAGGCAGCAGUGAGGAAUAUUGGUCAAUGGGCGAGAGCCUGAACCAGCCACGUCGCGUGAAGGAAGACGGUUCUAUGGAUUGUAAACUUCUUUUAUAGGGGAUUAAAGUUAUCCACGCGUGGAUAUUUUGCAAGUACCCUAUGAAUAAGCAUCGGCA
RNAcentral lists this ribosomal RNA (501 nucleotides) under Porphyromonas macacae. Its description in RNAcentral is "bacterial SSU rRNA". It matches the Rfam family "Bacterial small subunit ribosomal RNA", at positions 9 to 498 of the family's 1533-position model. The record is from RNAcentral. Lineage: Bacteria; Pseudomonadati; Bacteroidota; Bacteroidia; Bacteroidales; Porphyromonadaceae.